This 34-nucleotide ribosomal RNA is filed under the name Noahdendron nicholasii. RNAcentral's name for it is "partial 18S ribosomal RNA". The record is from RNAcentral. Lineage: Eukaryota; Viridiplantae; Streptophyta; Magnoliopsida; Saxifragales; Hamamelidaceae.
AGUUUCCGUAGGUGAACCUGCGGAAGGAUCAUUG